UGGGGAAUAUUGCACAAUGGGCGAAAGCCUGAUGCAGCGAUGCCGCGUGAGGGAAGAAGGUCUUCGGAUUGUAAACCUCUGUUUUCAGGGACGAUAAUGACGGUACCUGAGGAGGAAGCUCCGGCUAACUACGUGCCAGCAGCCGCGGUAAUACGUAGGGAGCGAGCGUUGUCCGGAAUUACUGGGUGUAAAGGGAGUGUAGGCGGGAAAACAAGUCAGAUGUGAAAACUAUGGGCUCAACCUGUAGACUGCAUUUGAAACUGUUUUUCUUGAGUGAAGUAGAGGUAAGCGGAAUUCCUAGUGUAGCGGUGAAAUGCGUAGAUAUUAGGAGGAACAUCAGUGGCGAAGGCGGCUUACUGGGCUUUUACUGACGCUGAGGCUCGAAAGCGUGGGGAGCAAACAGG
Molecule: ribosomal RNA, 404 nt
Filed under: uncultured bacterium
Lineage: Bacteria
Description: bacterial SSU rRNA
Rfam family: Bacterial small subunit ribosomal RNA
Source: RNAcentral